UCAUGGAAGUGUGAUUUCAUUAUAUUUUGUGUUGAAAAUCAUAACAACAUCGUACUUUAUUGUGUUGUUUUCCAAAACAAAGCAAAAAAACUAUAAUAGAAAUAUGAUUCUGUUCUGAUCUCAACCCUGAGAACAAUGAAAUCGUACUUUCAUUG
RNAcentral lists this microRNA precursor (155 nucleotides) under Glycine max (soybean). Its description in RNAcentral is "miR10441 stem-loop (gma-MIR10441)". The record is from miRBase by way of RNAcentral. Lineage: Eukaryota; Viridiplantae; Streptophyta; Magnoliopsida; Fabales; Fabaceae.